Molecule: long non-coding RNA, 883 nt
Organism: Panicum virgatum (switchgrass)
Lineage: Eukaryota; Viridiplantae; Streptophyta; Magnoliopsida; Poales; Poaceae
Exons: 3
Source: RefSeq, a predicted model, not a curated record
AGCGAGACGUGCCAGCAGUGCCCCCUCUGGUCGAGGCGAUGCCGCGCCAGGGUGCGCGACGGGCUGGACGCCGCCGCCUGCCGAGAUGCCAAACCGAGCUGCUCCACAACUUGUUGUGUAGACUGCAGGUCUGAAUCUCAGGUGUGUGGUGUACUCUGUAGAUUUGCAUAAUUGCCUAGAUUUGCCACAAAUUUAGGUUACGGACUUAGGAUAGAUGGGAAUUUGGGGAUCAGGCCGAUGUGGUUAUGAAAGUAGAUUAGCAACUAGAGGAUUGGAAUGAGACUGUCUACUCUCAAACAGUUCAUAUAUAGUUCCUGUCCUGCCAACCACCUCUCUAGAUAUCUACCAAACCAAACAAACACUAACCAACUGAUGUUAUCACCUAAUAUCUCUGCAUGAAUGGACAUGUUUUCUCUGCAAGGGAGCUCAAACUAAAGUAGCUUACUGCAUCAAGUCUGAACUGGAGUGCAUGAUCGCUGCACAAGGUAAGACAGCUUCAGAAUUACCCAUUUUAUGUCACAUUUCAAAUGAAGCUCAAUUACAGUUGCUGGGAUAGAACUGGGCAUAGGAGAGCUACCCAGGUGAUCCAUGUCCGUGUGUGGCUGCAUACAAGGAACAAUAUUUAGCAGCUCCAACUGUGCAAGCUUCUCUCUUUUUAAAAAAAACGGUCAUGCUACAGGUUAAUAUGCUCGGUUUAAACUACUCUUUUCUUGUCAUAAUUACUUUUGCAAUGAGAAAGGGCAAUUUAACAUUUAUGAGUGCUUCUGUCAGGUCACUGUUGUUCGAUUGAAAAAAGACUAUUACAAAAUUCUUGGUGUUCCUAAGGAUGCAUCGCAUGAUGACAUCAAAAAGGCUUUUCAUUCUGUAAGUAUCAUUACAGUUC